Molecule: ribosomal RNA, 505 nt
Filed under: uncultured bacterium
Lineage: Bacteria
Description: bacterial SSU rRNA
Rfam family: Bacterial small subunit ribosomal RNA
Source: RNAcentral
AGUGAACGCUGGCGGCAGGCCUAAUACAUGCAAGUCGAACGGCAGCACGGCAGAGCUUGCUCUGUGGGUGGCGAGUGGCGGACGGGUGAGGAAUACAUGGGAAUCUGCCCAGUCGUGGGGGAUAACGUAGGGAAACUUACGCUAAUACCGCAUGCGCCCUUCGGGGAAAGCCGGGGACCUUCGGGCCUGGCGCGAUUGGAUGAGCCCAUGUCGGAUUAGCUAGUUGGCGGGGUAAUGGCCCACCAAGGCGACGAUCCGUAGCUGGUCUGAGAGGAUGAUCAGCCACACUGGAACUGAGACACGGUCCAGACUCCUACGGGAGGCAGCAGUAGGGAAUAUUGGACAAUGGGCGCAAGCCUGAUCCAGCCAUGCCGCGUGAGUGAAGAAGGCCCUCGGGUUGUAAAGCUCUUUUGUCCGGAAAGAAAAGCGCCGGGUUAAUACCCUGGUGUCCUGACGGUACCGGAAGAAUAAGCACCGGCUAACUUCGUGCCAGCAGCCGCGGAAU